Molecule: long non-coding RNA, 477 nt
Organism: Homo sapiens (human)
Lineage: Eukaryota; Metazoa; Chordata; Mammalia; Primates; Hominidae
Gene: MAMDC2-AS1
Product: MAMDC2 antisense RNA 1
Source: Ensembl
AAAGUACCUGGACCUCUAUGCCCAUGCUUCUAGCAGCCAGCCUCCUAAAAUACCUCUAGUUGAAGCCAAAGUUAGAAUCCUUCUACGAAACUACAGGAUUAAAAUGGAAUGGUUACAUGACCCAGGCUUGACCAAUCAGAUCAUCCAAACCCUUUGCCACAGUGAUUGGUCCAGGGAUACAUGCAUGAGCCAGCUCAGUACGCAAGGCCCAAACAAUUGGUGAUAAUGAAGAAACUCUACUACCAGACGUUGCGGGAUGCCUCAAUGACCUAAUCCAGUAAAUCACAGCUCCAGCUGUCCAUGAGCUCUGUCUACCAUCUGAGGAAUUGUUUCUUUUUAAUACAAAGACUGGCACUCAUCAGAUAAUAAUUUCUGGGAUAGAAGCAAAGUAUUGGUAUUUCUUUAAGUCUCUUGAAGGUGAUUCUACUGAGCUGGGAUUAAGAACACACUGCCUUAAUCCUUUCAUCAUCAACAAAA